RNAcentral lists this ribosomal RNA (414 nucleotides) under uncultured microorganism. RNAcentral's name for it is "bacterial SSU rRNA". It matches the Rfam family "Archaeal small subunit ribosomal RNA", at positions 459 to 872 of the family's 1478-position model. The record is from RNAcentral.
CAGCAGCCGCGGUAAUACCGGCGGCCCGAGUGGCGGUCACUAUUAUUUGGCUUAAAGCGUCCGUAGCCGGGGUGGGAAGUCCUCCGGGAAAUCUGGCCGCUUAACGGUCAGAAUGCCGGAGGAUACUCCCAGCCUAGGGAGCGGGAGAGGCCGAGGGGAUUCCCGGAGUAGGGGUGAAAUCCUAUAAUCCCGGGAGGACCACCUGUGGCGAAGGCGCUCGGCUGGAACGCGUCCGACGGUGAGGGACGAAGGCCAGGGGAGCAAACCGGAUUAGAUACCCGGGUAGUCCUGGCGGUAAACGAUGCGGACUUUGUGUCGGACAAGCUAUGAGCUUGUCCGGUGCCGGAGGGAAACCGUUAAGUCCGCCGCCUGGGGAGUACGGCCGCAAGGCUGAAACUUAAAGGAAUUGGCGGG